GAUGAACGCUGGCGGCGUGCCUAAUACAUGCAAGUCGAGCGAACAGACGAGGAGCUUGCUCCUCUGACGUUAGCGGCGGACGGGUGAGUAACACGUGGAUAACCUACCUAUAAGACUGGGAUAACUUCGGGAAACCGGAGCUAAUACCGGAUAAUAUAUUGAACCGCAUGGUUCAAUAGUGAAAGACGGUUUUGCUGUCACUUAUAGAUGGAUCCGCGCCGCAUUAGCUAGUUGGUAAGGUAACGGCUUACCAAGGCAACGAUGCGUAGCCGACCUGAGAGGGUGGUCGGCCACACUGGAACUGAGACACGGUCCAGACUCCUACGGGAGGCAGCAGUAGGGAAUCUGCCGCAAUGGGCGAAAGCCUGACGGAGCAACGCCGCGUGAGUGAUGAAGGUCUUCGGAUCGUAAAACUCUGUUAUUAGGGAAGAACAAAUGUGUAAGUAACUAUGCACGUCUUGACGGUACCUAAUCAGAAAGCAACGGCUAACUACGUG
Molecule: ribosomal RNA, 497 nt
Filed under: uncultured bacterium
Lineage: Bacteria
Description: partial 16S ribosomal RNA
Rfam family: Bacterial small subunit ribosomal RNA
Source: RNAcentral